AAACUCAAAGGAAUUGACGGGGACCCGCACAAGCAGCGGAGCGUGUGGUUUAAUUCGUUGCUACACGAAGAACCUUACCUGGGUUUGACAUAUAGGUUGUAGGGAACUGAAAAGGGACCGACCCUUCGGGGAGCCUAUACAGGUGUUGCAUGGCUGUCGUCAGCUCGUGUCGUGAGAUGUUCGGUUAAGUCCGCUAACGAGCGCAACCCUCACUGUGUGUUAUAUGUGUCACACGGGACUGCCGGUUUUAAGCCGGAGGAAGGUGGGAUGACGUCAAGUCAGCAUGGCCUUUAUAUCCUGGGCUACACACACGCUACAAUGGUCGGUACAAUAGGUUGCCAAGCCGCGAGGCGGAGCCAAUCCAAAAAAGCCGGCCUCAGUUCAGAUUGUAGGCUGCAACUCGCCUGCAUGAAGAUGGAGUUGCUAGUAACCGCAGGUCAGCAAUACUGCGGUGAAUACGUUCCCGGGUCUU
This 472-nucleotide ribosomal RNA is filed under the name uncultured Anaerolineaceae bacterium. Its description in RNAcentral is "bacterial SSU rRNA". It matches the Rfam family "Bacterial small subunit ribosomal RNA", at positions 897 to 1382 of the family's 1533-position model. Lineage: Bacteria; Bacillati; Chloroflexota; Anaerolineae; Anaerolineales; Anaerolineaceae. The record is from RNAcentral.